This 2988-nucleotide long non-coding RNA is filed under the name Canis lupus familiaris (dog). RNAcentral's name for it is "lncRNA (ENSCAFG00000056014.1)". Lineage: Eukaryota; Metazoa; Chordata; Mammalia; Carnivora; Canidae. The record is from RNAcentral.
UUUUUCUCCGUGACACUUCUUGCAAUCUUUCCCAAUACUUUAGCUUUCCUAUUUGUGUUUCUUGCCUAUCUCUCCCUGCUGUAAUAUAAGCUCCAUGGAGGUAAAUAUUUUUGUCUGUUUGUUUGUUCAACGCCUCAUCUCUAGUGCCUAUGAUAGUACCUGGCACAUGAUAACUAUUCAUGAACAUCAAUAAUAAUGAGAGUCAGUAAAUAUUUGGUAAAUAGGGGCACCUGAGUGGCUCGGUCAGUUAAGCGUCUGUCUUCAGCACAGGUCGUGUUAUGGGUCCCAGGAUCAAGUGCCAUGUUGUGCUCCCUGCUUAGUUGGGAGUCUGCUUCUCCCUCUCUCUCUGCUCUUCCCCACUGCUCAUGCUCUCACCCUCUCUCUUUGAAAUAAAUAGAUAAAAAUCUUUUUAAAAAUAUUUGAGAGGUGCCUGGGUGGCUCAGUUGGUUCGGCAUCUGCCUUUGGUUCAGGUCAUGAUCUCAGGGUCCUGGGAUUAAGCCCCACAUUAGGCUUCCUGCUCAGUGGGGAAACUGCUUCUCCUUCUCCUUCUGCCCUUCCCCUUGCUCAUGUGCUCUCUCUCUUUCAAUUAAAUAAAUAAAAUCUUAAAAAUAGAUUAAAUUAAAAAUAAAUAAAAUAUUUGGUAAAUGAAUAAGCCAAAGCCCUAUGAUUUGUUUACCCAUUUCCUUGAUGUGUGACAUUUAAAUUGACUUCUGUAAUGUGAACAUCUGUGCGUGUCUUCCUAGAGCAGAUACUAAACAGUGGAAAUGCAGGGUGAAAUAUUUGUACAAAGUCAUCUUAAAAUGUACUGCCCACUUGCCCUCCAAAAGAACUGAAUUAACUUAUAUUUCUAAGAAUAGCAUGUAAAAGUUCAAAGCAUUCAAAACCACCUCAAAUAUUUGUAUCUUUUAAUCUAUAGUUCUUCUUGCUUAGAAUAUCCUCUGUCUUCAACUCCCAUUCUCUCCCUGGUGAAAUUCUAUCCAUCCUUUAAAACCUGACUCAACUGCCAUAGUGAAAAGGUAAGCAAUCCCCUCUGAAUUACCUGGCUGGCUCAAUUAGCCAUUAUGAAGUGUGCUUUUAUGGCAUACUUUUAUAUACCUCUACUUUAAUCUUCAUCAUGUUGUUUUGUAAUUUGUAUAUCUGGCAUUUGCACUAUACAAUGUGCCUCCAGAACCUAGAAUAUUAGUCUGUCCUUAGAUACUGGUGGAAUGUAGGCAGACAGAAGUCCCUCAAUCAAUACAAGAAUAUAUUUCCUGGGAUAAUGUGGAUUCUUGGUCCUCUCCUCCAGAGAUUUUGAUUGAAUAGCUCCAAAGGAGGGCCCAGGAAUCUGAAUAUUUAUUCAGACCUCCAGUGAUUCAACUUAAUCCAUCCUCCAAGCAUACCUUGAGGAAUUCAGUUAUUAAGAAACACUAGGGAAAGUAUACUAGGAUCAAGCAUUAUAGAAUUAUAUCCUGAUGUACUACCCACCAGUCUUAUAUAUGUGUAGUUAUAAAGUCACUUUUUACCCACUUUAUUAGAGUGCAAUUGACAUAUAAAAAGCUAUGCAUAUUAAAUAUAUACAACUUGAUGAGUUUGGAGAAAAGUAUACACCCAUGAAACUGUAACCACAAUCAAUGCCAUAAACACAUCCAUCACCUCCAAAUGUUUCUUCCAGCCCUAUUUUGUUGUUGGUAAAAAUCUCGAUAUUAUUAGGUAUCUUCCCCAAAGCUCAUGAAUAUCACGAACUGAUAUCUUCCCCAAAGCUCAUCAAUAAUAAUCAAUUGAUUCAGUAAACUGUUUAUGAGAAUAAAGAAUUUACUGGCUACAAUUCACCCCCCUUAAAAAUCAAAGAACUCAAAAUAAAGUUUCGCAUUGUUUUAGUGCUGUUUCAACUUAGUGAAAUAUGAGCCAGAAGAGUUAAUGUACCUUGUAAAUGGAAGGAAACAGGAGCAUAGGGGAGGAGAGGAUAUUAUCUAACACCCACACACACCAGACACACAGAAUAACUAGAACAGAUAUUCUUAUCAUUACCCAUUUUAUAGAGAUGAAAACCAAGGUUUAGAGUAGUUGAGUAAUUCACUCACAUACAUUUCUCUUACUAACUGGUAGAAUUUAGAUUUUUAACCCAGGUCUUUCUGGCUUUAAAAUUGAUGCUUUUUUCCAUUAUACGACAUUUCACCCAUAUACUGCAAAGAAAAUAUAGCUGAAUGUGUAAAAAAAAAUUGAUUUGCGUCUCUUGUGAUGAAUUACCUAACACUACCAUUUAACAGUUGUGUAAUCUUCUACUUGUCCUUUCUUCUCUUUGGGCUUUAGCUUCAGAUGAGGGUAAUGGAUGGAAAAAAAAAAAAAUAGUGCUGACCAAAGGAAAUCUAUAGGAGCAAGACAAGCACACAGUAGCAGUCAGGAGAUACCAAGGAUGGUGACUCCUUUUGCCACUCUGCAGUGCCCCCAGAUGAAGACUAUGAUGGACAAUGUCUCUCUAGAAUGAGUAAACAGAGUGGUGCUCAGAAUGAGAGCUAUAUUCGGUUUUGGUAUUAAUAAACAUAGACAAAAUGUCUAAGACCCAUUUUGAAGUACCUAGUUCCAAAUCUCAGCCCCACCACUGUACUAGCUAUAUGAAAUCUGACAAAGCAUUUAAUCUCUCUCAGCCUCAGUAUUCCAUCCACCCAAUGGGGAUGAUGAUGGCAGUACCUUUCUCAUGGGAGGAUUAAAUGAGAAAGUAAACCUACCAUACAACAAAUCUCAGUUGUUAUUACCUAUUUUUAUUAUGCCACAGUAUAAUCAAGUAGUCAAUAGAGGCAACUAAAAUUUCCAUUCACUCACAAAUAGAAAUAAAAUCCAAUAUGCUUAGGUGCCAGGAGCCAAGCCAGCACAGUGUGUGUGCUCUAUCUUGAUGCCUAUAAGAACCUAGAAGUUUAACUUAAGGUUCCAAUUUGUGUUUAUCCAAUGUUGCAUAAAUAUUAUCUAAAUAAAAUUCUCAGGGAACUAGCAGCUUUGGAUUUUAGGUGAUGA